This 1390-nucleotide ribosomal RNA is filed under the name metagenome. RNAcentral's name for it is "bacterial LSU rRNA". It matches the Rfam family "Bacterial large subunit ribosomal RNA", at positions 1518 to 2925 of the family's 2925-position model. The record is from RNAcentral.
CUGACACAUUGAGAUAGCGGAACCCAGGCGUUGGUUGACCUGGGCGAAAGGGACCGAAAUAUAGUAGGGAAGUCCGCGAUGCUGAGUGGCGAGAAAAGGCGUGAGGAAUACUAAGGCGCCCGUACCGCAAACCGACACAGGUGGAUGAGGAGAAAAUCCUAAGACCAGCGGGAGAAGGGUUGUUAAGGAACUCUGCAAGUUGACCCCGUAACUUCGGAAUAAGGGGAGCCUCGAAAGAGGUCACAGUUAAUAGGCCCAAGCAACUGUUUACCAAAAACACAGGUUUAUGCUAAAUCGAAAGAUGACGUAUAUGAGCUGACGCCUGCCCGGUGCUGGAAGGUUAAGAGGAAGGCUUAGCCGCAAGGCGAAGGUCUGAAUUGAAGCCCCAGUAAACGGCGGCCGUAACAAUAACGGUCCUAAGGUAGCGAAAUUCCUUGUCAGGUAAGUUCUGACCCGCACGAAAGGCGUAAUGAUUUGGGCACUGUCUCAACAGCCCACCCGGCGAAAUUGUAGUACCGGUGAAGAUGCCGGUUACCCGCAACUAGACGGAAAGACCCCAUGGAGCUUCACUGUAGCUUAAUACUGGAAAUCGGCAAAUCAUGUACAGGAUAGGUGGGAGACUUAGAAGCACAGGCGUCAGCUUGUGUGGAGUCACCCUUGGGAUACCACCCUUGGUUUACUGGUUUUCUAACCUGCGGCCCUGAAUCGGGUCGGGGGACACUGUUAGGUGGGCAGUCUGACUGGGGCGGUCGCCUCCAAAAAGGUAACGGAGGCGCUCAAAGGUUGGCUCAGCACGGACGGAAAUCGUGCAAUGAGUGUAAACGUAGAAGCCAACUUGACUGCGAGACCGACGGGUCGAGCAGGUACGAAAGUAGGAGUUAGUGAUCCGGUGGUAUGCAAGUGGAAGUGCCAUCGCUCAACGGAUAAAAGCUACCCUGGGGAUAACAGGCUGAUCUCCCCCAAGCGUCCACAGCGACGGGGAGGUUUGGCACCUCGAUGUCGGCUCGUCGCAUCCUGGGGCUGAAUUCGGUCCCAAGGGUUUGGCUGUUCGCCAAUUAAAGCGGCACGCGAGCUGGGUUCAGAACGUCGUGAGACAGUUCGGUCCCUAUCUGUUGCGGGCGAAAGAGAUUUGAAGAGAGCUGUCCUUAGUACGAGAGGACCGGGAUGGACAUACCUCUGGUGCACCAGUUGUCGUGCCAACGGCACAGCUGGGUAGCUAUGUAUGGAAGAGAUAAACGCUGAAGGCAUCUAAGCGUGAAACUCCCUCUAAGAUAAGAUCUCUCAUCCUAAAAGGAGUAAGGCCCCAGAAAGACGAUCUGGUUGAUAGGCUGGAAGUGUAAGUGCAGUAAUGUAUUGAGCUGACCAGUACUAAUAGGCCGAGGGCUUGAUC